RNAcentral lists this ribosomal RNA (273 nucleotides) under uncultured bacterium. RNAcentral describes it as "partial 16S ribosomal RNA". It matches the Rfam family "Bacterial small subunit ribosomal RNA", at positions 523 to 796 of the family's 1533-position model. The record is from RNAcentral.
AUACGGGGGUGCAAGCGUUGUCCGGAAUCAUUGGGCGUAAAGGGUUCGUAGGUGGAAUUAUAAGUCUGGUGUGAAAGCCCACAGCUCAACUGUGGAACUGCACUGGAUACUGUUUUUCUUGAGUUAUAGAGGGGUUUGUGGAAUUUCUGGUGUAGAGGUGAAAUUUGUAGAGAUCAGAAAGAACACCGGUGGCGAAGGCGACAAACUGGCUAUUAACUGACACUGAGGAACGAAAGCGUGGGGAGCGAACAGGAUUAGAUACCCUAGUAGUCC